AGCCAGACUCCUACGGGAGGCAGCAGUGGGGAAUAUUGCACAAUGGGGGAAACCCUGAUGCAGCGACGCCGCGUGAGUGAAGAAGUAUUUCGGUAUGUAAAGCUCUAUCAGCAGGGAAGAAGUUGACGGUACCUGAGUAAGAAGCCCCGGCUAACUACGUGCCAGCAGCCGCGGUAAUACGUAGGGGGCAAGCGUUAUCCGGAUUUACUGGGUGUAAAGGGAGCGUAGACGGCAGUGCAAGUCUGAAGUGAAAGCCCCGGGCUUAACCCGGGAACUGCUUUGGAAACUGUACGGCUGGAGUGCUGGAGAGGUAAGCGGAAUUCCUAGUGUAGCGGUGAAAUGCGUAGAUAUUAGGAGGAACACCAGUGGCGAAGGCGGCUUACUGGACAGUAACUGACGUUGAGGCUCGAAAGCGUGGGGAGCAAACAGGAUUAGAUACCCUGGUA
This 446-nucleotide ribosomal RNA is filed under the name uncultured bacterium. Its description in RNAcentral is "bacterial SSU rRNA". It matches the Rfam family "Bacterial small subunit ribosomal RNA", at positions 329 to 792 of the family's 1533-position model. The record is from RNAcentral.